Molecule: ribosomal RNA, 454 nt
Filed under: uncultured eukaryote
Lineage: Eukaryota
Description: SSU rRNA
Rfam family: Eukaryotic small subunit ribosomal RNA
Source: RNAcentral
CAAUAGCGUAUAUUAAAGCUGUUGCAGUUGAAAAGCUCGUAGCUGAAUCCGGGGAGAGGCCGGGGGGGUUAUUGCUGCGUGUAAAAGGGUCAAACCUCAAUAAGCGAUCGGCAUGUCACAACCCGCGCCACGACCCAAACAGUCGGUAGACCCAGGGUGCUCUUAACUGAGUGGUCUGUGGUGGCCGGCCAGUUUACUUUGAAAAAUUAGAGUGCUCAGAGCAGGCCGGUAGAGCCUAGAUACUUCAGCAUGGAAUAAUGGAACAGGACUUCGGUCCUCUUCAGUUGGUCUUCGGGACGCGAGGUAAUGACCGAUAGGGACAGACGGGGGCAUUCGUAUUGUGGGCUAGAGGUGAAAUUCUUGGACCCUCGCAAGACGGACAACCGCGAAAGCAUUUGCCAAGAAUGUUUUCAUUAGUCAAGAACGAAAGUCAGAGGUUCGAAGACGAUCAGAU